Molecule: ribosomal RNA, 333 nt
Filed under: Salmonella enterica subsp. enterica serovar Typhimurium str. LT2-4_delta.ramA::kan
Lineage: Bacteria; Pseudomonadati; Pseudomonadota; Gammaproteobacteria; Enterobacterales; Enterobacteriaceae
Description: bacterial LSU rRNA
Rfam family: Bacterial large subunit ribosomal RNA
Source: RNAcentral
GGUUAAGCGACUAAGCGUACACGGUGGAUGCCCUGGCAGUCAGAGGCGAUGAAGGGCGUGCUAAUCUGCGAUAAGCGCCGGUAAGGUGAUAUGAACCGUUAUAACCGGCGAUACCCGAAUGGGGAAACCCAGUGUGAUUCGUCACACUAUCAUUAACUGAAUCCAUAGGUUAAUGAGGCGAACCGGGGGAACUGAAACAUCUAAGUACCCCGAGGAAAAGAAAUCAACCGAGAUUCCCCCAGUAGCGGCGAGCGAACGGGGAGGAGCCCAGAGCCUGAAUCAGCAUGUGUGUUAGUGGAAGCGUCUGGAAAGGUGCGCGAUACAGGGUGACAG